GCUGCUGUAGCUCAGUGGCAGAGCGCGUCAUUGGUAAUGACGAGGUCGGGAGUUCAAUCCUCCCCAGCAGCACCA
This 75-nucleotide transfer RNA is filed under the name Rhodospirillaceae bacterium. RNAcentral's name for it is "tRNA-Thr". It matches the Rfam family "tRNA". Rfam says of the family: Transfer RNA (tRNA) molecules are approximately 80 nucleotides in length. The record is from RNAcentral. Lineage: Bacteria; Pseudomonadati; Pseudomonadota; Alphaproteobacteria; Rhodospirillales; Rhodospirillaceae.